Molecule: small RNA, 77 nt
Filed under: Xanthomonas campestris pv. carissae
Lineage: Bacteria; Pseudomonadati; Pseudomonadota; Gammaproteobacteria; Lysobacterales; Lysobacteraceae
Description: sX9 sRNA
Rfam family: Xanthomonas sRNA sX9
Source: RNAcentral
AUGUACCGCGCAUGUACUGCGGCUCUGAGCGCGCCUUCCGCGCCCACCUGAUGGCUGCUCGCUACGUUUUGUUAGCC